RNAcentral lists this long non-coding RNA (204 nucleotides) under Elaeis guineensis (African oil palm). RNAcentral's name for it is "long non-coding RNA (EGUI_LNC071571)". The record is from RNAcentral. Lineage: Eukaryota; Viridiplantae; Streptophyta; Magnoliopsida; Arecales; Arecaceae.
AUGAGAGGAGUAGUCCUAUGAUGAUCGAAAGAUCAAGUCCUUAAGCCCAUGGCCAUGGCAGACUAAAAUAAUGAAAAAGAGUUUUUCAUUGGGGUUUCACAUCGGACUCGAUUGACUGAUGUUGGGUUUGAUGAGUUCACCUUAACCCUAAUUCAGUUGGAACUCAUGAUAGAGAAACUCAAUCACACAGGUAGCUGCACCAAA